AGGAACCUGCCUUGGAGAGGGGAAUAACACUCCGAAAGGAGUGCUAAUACCGCAUGAUGCAGUUGGGUCGCAUGGCUCUGACUGCCAAAGAUUUAUCGCUCUGAGAUGGCCUCGCGUCUGAUUAGCUAGUAGGCGGGGUAACGGCCCACCUAGGCGACGAUCAGUAGCCGGACUGAGAGGUUGACCGGCCACAUUGGGACUGAGACACGGCCCAG
This 215-nucleotide ribosomal RNA is filed under the name uncultured bacterium. Its description in RNAcentral is "partial 16S ribosomal RNA". It matches the Rfam family "Bacterial small subunit ribosomal RNA", at positions 120 to 334 of the family's 1533-position model. The record is from RNAcentral.